This 253-nucleotide ribosomal RNA is filed under the name uncultured bacterium. Its description in RNAcentral is "partial 16S ribosomal RNA". It matches the Rfam family "Bacterial small subunit ribosomal RNA", at positions 524 to 776 of the family's 1533-position model. The record is from RNAcentral.
UACGUAGGGUGCAAGCGUUAAUCGGAAUUACUGGGCGUAAAGCGUGCGCAGGCGGUGAUGUAAGACAGGUGUGAAAUCCCCGGGCUUAACCUGGGAACUGCAUUUGUGACUGCAUCGCUGGAGUGCGGCAGAGGGGGGUAGAAUUCCACGUGUAGCAGUGAAAUGCGUAGAGAUGUGGAGGAACACCGAUGGCGAAGGCAGCCCCCUGGGUCAAGAUUGACGCUCAUGCACGAAAGCGUGGGGAGCAAACAGG